This 1373-nucleotide long non-coding RNA is filed under the name Anser brachyrhynchus (Pink-footed goose). RNAcentral describes it as "lncRNA (ENSABRG00000009098.1)". Lineage: Eukaryota; Metazoa; Chordata; Aves; Anseriformes; Anatidae. The record is from RNAcentral.
GAAACGGAGUUGUGCAUCGACAUUUACUGUGUCUGCAAAUAACCCCUUGUGUAAACAGCGGCAGAGGCCUGUGUGUACACACAUCCCACUCCUCCACGCUAUCAGCGUUCUGGAAAAUCUUGCUGGAUUUGCUGCAGUUAGUGUCAUGAAGGAUUUACAUGUGCAUAUGAAUGUAAACACAUGUGGUUAAUGGCCUGCUGACUUGCUUAAACUUGUUGGUGGUUAAGUGUCUUCAAUCCUUUAUAUGCUGUGCAUGUGAGGGGGCAGGAUCCUGCUCUGCUCUCGCCCUGGUGUGGACACAGUGCUGUCCUGGCGCUCGUUUGGGUAUGUGUGGGCUCACAUCUUAGGCUGUGGGGUUUGGCCAAAGUGAACCCUACAGGUCCCCUACACACACCUGGUCCUGAUGAGUGCUGGGCCACAAAAAGGGCACCUAUGUGAAUUCCUCUGCCUGUGAUCCAUGUAGUGAGGGUGCAAGGGGCACAGCCACGAACACACCCAGCUUUAUGGAGUGGGUUUCACCUAUGGAUCUCAGCAACAACUUCACAGAGGAAGAAAUGAGGCAGGAAGGUACCUGCCUGAUGACAUCCAGGGUCUGCCGUCCAAAUGUGCUGGGAUGCACCCAGGCCAUUGGCCAGGGAAAUCACAGGGCAUCUGCUGUCUCUCAGAGCUUCAAGCAAAGCAAGACCAAGAUGAACUAUUUCCGAAAUCUGAGCUGGUGACAGAGUGAAUAUACUGGAGUGGCUGUAUACCAGUGCUGAGCUCAGUUUCUCACUCAACAGAAGGUACAGCUAGUUUGUUAUUCCAUGCAGCAUCAUGAUUUAUCCUUAUUUUUCCCAAAACAUGGUCUAAAAGCCAUGAAUGAAAGUGGAACUGUUCCCCCAGCCACCAGGUGAGGCCAUCAGAGUUGUUUGGGUUGAACUUGACCUCAUAGAAGUCACUGGGAAUUUGUAUGCUGGACUUUUUGGGAGAAUAAUUCAUUUAUCUUCCAAAGUUAACAGCUUUCUGACAACUGCUGUCAUCAGCACUGAAAAAUUACCUUUUUUUUUUUUUUUUUCUGGAUAAACAUGUGCAAAAGAAAUAUGAGGAGAUACUUUGUUUUGCACCAUCCUGGAGGACCCCUGCAAGAAGUAUCAAUGUUGAACCUUUGUCCUGCAGCUGCCACAGAAAGUUAGCUAUGUGUGUUUCCAGCUCAUGCACUUCCAGCAGUCGAAAGUUUUUAUCAAAGCCCAUGUGUUGUCCUUCAUAAAGCUGGGAAAAAAAAAAGAAAAAAGAAAAAAAAACACAUGAUAAAUAAUUCACAUUUCAACUAGCAUUAAAUGGAAACUUUACGAAGCAGAUUCAAAUUGUUUAAUAAACACUGAUAAGUCCCUCCA